UCUAGCCUACGGGACGCAGCAGUGAGGAAUAUUGGUCAAUGGCCGAGAGCCUGAACCAGCCAAGUCGCGUGAGGGAUGACGGCCCUACGGGUUGUAAACCUCUUUUGUCGGGGAGCAAGACCCGCCACGAGUGGCGGGGCGAGAGUACCCGAAGAAAAAGCAUCGGCUAACUCCGUGCCAGCAGCCGCGGUAAUACGGAGGAUGCGAGCGUUAUCCGGAUUUAUUGGGUUUAAAGGGUGCGCAGGCGGCGAGUUAAGUCAGCGGUAAAAUUUCGGGGCUCAACCCCG
Molecule: ribosomal RNA, 287 nt
Filed under: uncultured bacterium
Lineage: Bacteria
Description: partial 16S ribosomal RNA
Rfam family: Bacterial small subunit ribosomal RNA
Source: RNAcentral